Molecule: long non-coding RNA, 279 nt
Organism: Homo sapiens (human)
Lineage: Eukaryota; Metazoa; Chordata; Mammalia; Primates; Hominidae
Exons: 3
Source: RefSeq, a predicted model, not a curated record
GAAGCCAUUCAACAGUGGCCCGUUCCCAAAACAGUGAGGUCUGUCCGCAUAAUACAUGUGGUGGCUCCUGAUCAGGCUGAAGGUGAACAUCAACAACAGCAGAGACAAUCUAGAAAAACUGCCAGGAUGAUCAGAAGGAGAGGUGGCAGGGCUUCUCAGGAGUUAAGCUUGGGAACACUGACUGCAAGCUUUUGAGGGAAAGCCUGGCAGUACAGAAAGGAGGAUGAAAAAUAGAAAAAAUGGAUUUGAGAUGUAGCUCUACCUCUGGGGACAGAUCCC